AUACGUAGGGGGCAAGCGUUGUCCGGAAUUAUUGGGCGUAAAGCGCGCGCAGGCGGUCUCUUAAGUCUGAUGUGAAAUCUCGCGGCUCAACCGCGAGCGGUCAUUGGAAACUGGGGGACUUGAGUGUAGGAGAGGAAAGUGGAAUUCCACGUGUAGCGGUGAAAUGCGUAGAGAUGUGGAGGAACACCAGUGACGAAGGCGACUUUCUGGCCUAUAACUGACGCUGAGGCGCGAAAGCGUGGGGAGCAAACAGGAUUAGAUACCCUGGUAGUCCACACCGUAAACGAUGAGUGCUAGGUGUUAGGGGUUUCGAUACCCUUAGUGCCGGCGUUAACACAUUAAGCACUCCGCCUGGGGAGUACGGCCGCAAGGCUGAA
Molecule: ribosomal RNA, 377 nt
Filed under: uncultured bacterium
Lineage: Bacteria
Description: bacterial SSU rRNA
Rfam family: Bacterial small subunit ribosomal RNA
Source: RNAcentral